This 451-nucleotide ribosomal RNA is filed under the name uncultured bacterium. Its description in RNAcentral is "partial 16S ribosomal RNA". It matches the Rfam family "Bacterial small subunit ribosomal RNA", at positions 354 to 796 of the family's 1533-position model. The record is from RNAcentral.
GUGGGGAAUUUUGGACAAUGGGCGCAAGCCUGAUCCAGCAAUGCCGCGUGCAGGAAGAAGGCCUUUUGGUUGUAAAGCACUUUAAGCGAGGAGGAGGCUACCGAGAUUAAUACUCUUGGAUAGUGGACGUUACUCGCAGAAUAAGCACCGGCUAACUCUGUGCCAGCAGCCGCGGUAAUACAGAGGGUGCAAGCGUUAAUCGGAUUUACUGGGCGUAAAGCGCGCGUAGGUGGCCAAUUAAGUCAAAUGUGAAAUCCCCGAGCUUAACUUGGGAAUUGCAUUCGAUACUGGUUGGCUAGAGUAUGGGAGAGGAUGGUAGAAUUCCAGGUGUAGCGGUGAAAUGCGUAGAGAUCUGGAGGAAUACCGAUGGCGAAGGCAGCCAUCUGGCCUAAUACUGACACUGAGGUGCGAAAGCAUGGGGAGCAAACAGGAUUAGAAACCCGAGUAGUCC